This is a long non-coding RNA of Esox lucius (northern pike), 2872 nucleotides long. The record is from Ensembl. Lineage: Eukaryota; Metazoa; Chordata; Actinopteri; Esociformes; Esocidae.
GUUUGCCGCCGAAUACGUCACUCCCAUUUCUUGCGAGAUUUCUUGACUGCUUCAUUUUCUCUGGCGGUUGCCUCGGUCUAAAGGACCGCGGUCGUCAGGCGGCAAGACGCUUUUAAAUACAAGGCUACUCACAAAAUCGACCGGCCAUGUUGGUUUGGACACACAUUCGCAUCAGUUCGUCGCUCAAUCGCGAGUUACAGCCUGCAGUUUGCCAGCUAGCAAAGUCAUCGACUACCAUCGUUUAAGUAAGUACAUGUUUCCUUUUUGUGUAACACAAUAUUAUGUUUACAUUGUUUUUAGUUUAUAUAUUUAAAAUGUGUAGUAAUCUUUGUUCAUGCCUAACUAUCUAAAGUAGCCUUGUUUACGCAAUGUUGUUGGUACAUCUAGAAUUUUAACGAGCUAUAAUAGGUAACAAAAGCUUUACAUCUAGAAAGACUAAGUUUCACUUUUAGUGUUUUCUUACAAAAAUAAUGAUGUAUAUAUGUUGUUUAAAUUAUUUUGUUUGCCUGAACAAGUAUGCUGCUAGUCCAGUAGCUAGAGUGGCUAGUAAGUGUUAGCUAGCACAUGCUGUUUUGCCUUUGUUACAGUACACACUGUGGUUAGCAAGUUUUGUGCUGUGUUGCUACUGUACUGGAUUUAAGGCGAUUCACUUGAAUCACAACACUCUGUGAAUAAAUUUUAUUUUUAACAAUUUCACUGUUCCACAUUUGGCUGAUAAUGUUUCCCCCCCCCACAGCAUAGCUACUGUAUAUUUUCUUGCAGAUACCUUGGCCAGAGCAUAACCAGUUAUCUUCACCCAAGAGACCUACUGUUGGUCAAUCGUUUUGGUCCAUCCAUCUUCUUCCGCUUAUCCGGGGCCGGGUCGCGGGGGCAGCAGUCUAAGCAGGGAUGCCCAGACUUCCCUCUCCCCAGACACUUCCUCUAGCUCUUCCGGGGGGACACCGAGGCGUUCCCAGGCCAGCCGGGAGACAUAGUCCCUCCAGCGUCUCCUAGGUCUUCCUCCUAGGUCUUGACCCAAAGCUCAUGACCAUAGGUGAGAGUAGGAACGUAGAUUGACUGGUAAAUCGAGAGCUUCGCCUUGCGGCUCAGCUCUUUCUUCACCAUGACAGACCGAUACAUCGACUGCAUUACUGCAGAAGCUGCACCGAUCCGUCUGUCAAUCUCCCGUUCCAUCCUUCCCUCACUCGUGAACAAGACCCCUAGAUACUUAAACUCCUCCACUUGAGGCAGGCAAUCGUUUUGGUUUUAAAGGUAAAUGCAUUGUUAGUCACAAUGUCUAGUUACUGGGCCAAAAGGAAAAUAAUAUUGAAAAGAGUUGAGAGGGACAAACAGGACAUUCACUUGAAUCACUACAUGCUACAGAAGUUGCAUCGAUUCCAGAAAACCAGGAAAAUUUUGAGCCAUCUGUAGACUUCAGAGCUGGUAUGUAAAAUGUAUUGCUGUGAUGCUUAAUUUGUGAUCCUGUAACUAAACUAUACACUGUUAGAUUUUCAAAUUUCUGUUCCCUCUUUCUCAGAACCAGGUUUCUCCCCUGUAAUCCAGACUCCACUUCACAGAGCCAAGAGUUUGAUUACAAGGCACUUGACUUUCUGGAUAAAAGGUAUCGAGCUCGUCAUGUACUAAGCUUUACACCACCAGCAGCAAAUUUACCCUGGCAGCAUAUGGGUGAAAACACUGGAGGAGAAAGUAAUCGCUUUGUUAUUGGCCCUUGGACGCCCCUGGCAUCUCAUGUACAGCAUGAAGUUUUCAGCUAUGAAGAUUUCCAGAGACUCCAGAAUGAACCAAGCUCUGAGGGAGGAGAACCAAGCCCUGAGGGAAUGCAUUGCACAAGCAGCUUCGGAUGACAGCGGCUCACUUCAAGAGCAGGUGAAGCAAGUAGGGACAAUGUUGAAGACGUUUGCUCUCACUGGGCAAUCAGGUGCGUUACCUGAAAGGAGCAUCUGACCAUGAAGGCAGAAAAAGCCGCACAGCUGAGAAGGACCCACAGCCGACCCCUUAAACCUAGGCUGACUACUGACACCCCAGCAUCACUGAACUGGAACACUUUCUUUAUCCUGCAGUCAGUAACAUCAAGAAGCCAGAAGUGCCAGACCACACUCACCAAAUCCACCCUGGGUUUUUUUGUUGGUUUUUUAACUUUAGUAUUGGCUUAUUUAAUUCCGUCUUAACGAUUCUAUUAUAGUUUGUAAAUCCUAUUUCAUACCUGUUACUUGAUAUUGCACAUUAACUAGUACCAAAAUUCUACUUUCAUUUCAUCAGUGUGCUUAACUGUUAUUCUAUUAAUAAUAGCUUGGAAAUACUAUUUCGUACCCCUGAUACUUGAUAUUGCACAUAACCUGGUACCAAAUAUUCUACUUACUCUGUUUUUAACAUCAGCAUUUUUCAUUCCAUCACAGUGCUUAACUGUUAUUCUAUUGUUAAAUAUAGCUUGUAAAUCCUUGUGCCAAAGGUCAGCAUUGCUGUUAUAAUGGUCUGUUCUACUACUGUUUUUACCUCUGUAUUUUUAUAUGAAUAUAUAUGUCAAGUUUUGUUUAUCACAGAUACAAGAGACACAAAUCUUGUUGCAGCACGGUGUAAAUCUUGUGCUCCAGGUCAGCAAUGCCAUUAUAACGGUCUAUUCUACUCUAGAGCUUUACUCUAAAUUAUUACCUCUUUUCCUAUUGUUAGAAAUGGCUUGAAAAUGUGAUGUUAUACCUCGAUUUAUUUGGUAUCCUGCACAUUCUUUGAUACCAAAUAUCCUCAUUACUUAUGUUUACUGGUAAAUAUUUUCAUCCCAGAGCUGACCUCUUUAUAUUAUUAACAAUUAUUGUGUUUGUGUUAUAAUUUGCUUGUAUGGCUGUUUUUUAAAAACCAAAAUUUUAUUGGAAACCUG